CCUCUGUAUGCUUAGUAGCGGCGAGUGAGCGGCAAUAGCUCAAAUUUGAAAUCUGGCGUCUUCGGCGUCCGAGUUGUAAUUUGAAGAAGGUAUCUUUGAGGCUGGCUCUUGUCUAUGUUCCUUGGAACAGGACGUCACAGAGGGUGAGAAUCCCGUGCGAUGAGAUGCCCAGUUUCGUGUAAAGUUCCUUCGACGAGUCGAGUUGUUUGGGAAUGCAGCUCUAAGUGGGUGGUAAAUUCCAUCUAAAGCUAAAUAUUGGCGAGAGACCGAUAGCGAACAAGUACUGUGAAGGAAAGAUGAAAAGAACUUUGAAAAGAGAGUGAAAAAGUACGUGAAAUUGUUGAAAGGGAAGGGCUUGAGGUCAGACUUGGUUUACCAGGCCAGCAUCAGUUUGGGUGGCAGGAUAAUAGCUAAGGAAAGUGGCACGAUUUCGGUUGUGUGUUAUAGCCUUGGUUGAUACUGCCUGCCUAGACUGAGGACUGCGUCUUUGACUAGGAUGCUGGCAUAAUGACCUUAAGCCGCCCGUCAUAAAACCACGGACCC
This 543-nucleotide ribosomal RNA is filed under the name Yamadazyma diddensiae. RNAcentral's name for it is "eukaryotic LSU rRNA". It matches the Rfam family "Eukaryotic large subunit ribosomal RNA", at positions 68 to 668 of the family's 3401-position model. The record is from RNAcentral. Lineage: Eukaryota; Fungi; Ascomycota; Pichiomycetes; Serinales; Debaryomycetaceae.